CAGUAGCCGCGGGAAUACGGAGGGUGCAAGCGUUAAUCGGAAUUACUGGGCGUAAAGCGCACGCAGGCGGUCUGACAAGUCAGAUGUGAAAUCCCCGGGCUUAACCUGGGAACUGCAUUUGAAACUGGCAAGCUAGAGUCUCGUAGAGGGGGGUAGAAUUCCAGGUGUAGCGGUGAAAUGCGUAGAGAUCUGGAGGAAUACCGGUGGCGAAGGCGGCCCCCUGGACGAAGACUGACGCUCAGGUGCGAAAGCGUGGGGAGCAAACAGGAUUAGAUACCCGUGUAGUCCCUGUCUCUUAUAA
Molecule: ribosomal RNA, 301 nt
Filed under: uncultured bacterium
Lineage: Bacteria
Description: partial 16S ribosomal RNA
Rfam family: Bacterial small subunit ribosomal RNA
Source: RNAcentral